AUUGAACGCUUGCGGCAGGCUUAACACAUGCAAGUCGAGCGGAGAGAGGUAGCUUGCUACUGAUCUUAGCGGCGGACGGGUGAGUAAUGCUUAGGAAUCUGCCUAUUAGUGGGGGACAACAUUUCGAAAGGAAUGCUAAUACCGCAUACGUCCUACGGGAGAAAGCAGGGGAUCUUCGGACCUUGCGCUAAUAGAUGAGCCUGAGUCGGAUUAGCUAGUUGGUGGGGUAAAGGCCUACCAAGGCGACGAUCUGUAGCGGGUCUGAGGGGAUGAGCCGCCUCACUGGGACUGGGAAACGACCCAGACUCCUACGGUAGGCGGCAGUGGGGAAUAUGGGACAAUGGGCGCAAGCCUGAUCCAGCCAUGCCGCGUGUGUGAAGAAGGCCUUAUGGUUGUAAAGCACUUUAAGCGAGGAGGAGGCUACUUUAGAUAAUACCUAGAGAUAGUGGACGUUACUCGCAGAAUAAGCACCGGCUAACUCUGUGCCAGCCGCCGCCGUAA
This 501-nucleotide ribosomal RNA is filed under the name uncultured bacterium. Its description in RNAcentral is "partial 16S ribosomal RNA". It matches the Rfam family "Bacterial small subunit ribosomal RNA", at positions 30 to 523 of the family's 1533-position model. The record is from RNAcentral.